GUUUCUCACAAGCCACCUGCACAUCGGACUCAGGCUCCCAGCUGUGCAGCUCACGCAGAAUCAGCGAGCAUCCUGGUGUUCACCUGUCGGGGUCCAGCAGGAAGGCUCUCGCCGCGGGACGCUGGCUGAGGUUGGACAGCACCGGCCCCAGACGGAUUGGGAAAUACUCCCUUCAGUUUUCUGCAAGAGUUUCGACUUCCGGUCAAGAUG
Molecule: long non-coding RNA, 210 nt
Organism: Molossus molossus (Pallas's mastiff bat)
Lineage: Eukaryota; Metazoa; Chordata; Mammalia; Chiroptera; Molossidae
Exons: 3
Source: RefSeq, a predicted model, not a curated record